GCGUCCUUAGUUCAGUUGGUAGAACGCAGGUCUCCAACACCUGAUGUCGUGGGUUCGAGUCCUACAGGGCGCGCCA
RNAcentral lists this transfer RNA (76 nucleotides) under Candidatus Melainabacteria bacterium. RNAcentral describes it as "tRNA-Trp". It matches the Rfam family "tRNA". Rfam says of the family: Transfer RNA (tRNA) molecules are approximately 80 nucleotides in length. Their secondary structure includes four short double-helical elements and three loops (D, anti-codon, and T loops). The record is from RNAcentral. Lineage: Bacteria; Bacillati; Candidatus Melainabacteria.